UGCGGGGUGGAGCAGUCUGGUAGCUCGUCGGGCUCAUAACCCGAAGGUCGUUGGUUCGAAUCCAGCUCCCGCUACCA
This 77-nucleotide transfer RNA is filed under the name Marinobacter manganoxydans MnI7-9. Its description in RNAcentral is "tRNA-Met". It matches the Rfam family "tRNA". From Rfam's summary of the family: Transfer RNA (tRNA) molecules are approximately 80 nucleotides in length. Their secondary structure includes four short double-helical elements and three loops (D, anti-codon, and T loops). Lineage: Bacteria; Pseudomonadati; Pseudomonadota; Gammaproteobacteria; Pseudomonadales; Marinobacteraceae. The record is from RNAcentral.